UAUGUGAUCGUCUCUCGCAUAUCAAUAAGCGGAGGAAAAGAAACUAACAAGGAUUCCCCUAGUAACGGCGAGUGAAGCGGGAAGAGCUCUAAAUUUGAAAUCUUAAAGGGUUUCCCUUUACGAAUUGUAGUUUAAAGAAGUGUUUUCUGUUGAGGUUUUGGUAAAAGUUCUUUGGAAUAGGACAUCAUAGAGGGUGAGAAUCCCGUAUUUGACCUUUACUUUCAACUUUGUGAUACACUUUCAAAGAGUCGGAUUGUUUGGGAAUGCAGUCCAAAAUGGGCUGGUAAAUUUCAUCUAAAGCUAAAUAUUGGCGAGAGACCGAUAGCGAACAAGUACCGUGAGGGAAAGAUGAAAAGAACUUUGAAAAGAGAGUUAAACAGUACGUGAAAUCGUCAAAAGGGAAGCGUUUGACACCAGUGUUGUUUUUCUGAAAAUCAAUUAAAGAACUGUUUAUGCUAAGUUGUUUAGACUUUAUCAGCUAACUGUUUAGUUUUGAGCUUUUCUUUAAUGCACUUUUCAGUUAACAAGUCAACAUCAAUUUCUUUUGCUGUAAAAAAGCUUGAGGAAGGUGGCUUGAGAUUCGUCUUAAGUGUUUAUAGCCUCUUGCCUAUGCAGUCGGAGAGAUUGAGGUCUGCAGCGUAGAUCCUUCGGGGCUAAAUGCAUUUGUGCUAAGUUAUAGCAUUUUAUAGACAACUUGUUGACUAUGAUUUGUCUUGUAGCUUACUCGCUUAUGUUAUUUUACCUACGCUUAGGAUGUUGAUCUACAGAGCGAGAGU
This 776-nucleotide ribosomal RNA is filed under the name uncultured Neocallimastigales. RNAcentral describes it as "partial large subunit ribosomal RNA". It matches the Rfam family "Eukaryotic large subunit ribosomal RNA", at positions 24 to 631 of the family's 3401-position model. Lineage: Eukaryota; Fungi; Neocallimastigomycota; Neocallimastigomycetes; Neocallimastigales. The record is from RNAcentral.